Molecule: long non-coding RNA, 851 nt
Organism: Gorilla gorilla gorilla (western lowland gorilla)
Lineage: Eukaryota; Metazoa; Chordata; Mammalia; Primates; Hominidae
Exons: 4
Source: RefSeq, a predicted model, not a curated record
GUUUAGUUAUUGCACUCACAGCUUUGCAAGUAUUGCUGCUCAGUGAAAAUGUAAGUGCCAUACAUGUGUACCAUCACACACACACACACACACACACACACACACACACACACACCCUUCUAGACCCAGAUUCUCCACUCAGGGAAAUAGCAUGAAAGAAAACCUGAUGCCCCAGUGAAUAGCCAUUUUACUCACCACCUUUAGAAUGACAUAGCCCAGCUGCUUCUGGGCUAGAACCUCAUCCUCCUUGUGACUCGAUGCUUCUGCUGCCAAAUGAGGUGGAGAACUGUCACAGUGCGUCCUUGGAUGACGGACCGCAGAUGGAACACCCAGCAGGAAGUAACUCCUCCACCGAGGAUGGCAUUCAUCUCUCUACCACCUGCAUGGUUUUUGCUAUAACUAUGGAGUCUCAUUCUGUUGCCCAGGCUGGAGUGCAAUGGCGCGAUCUCAGCUCACCGCAAUCUCUGCCUCCUGAGUUUAAGCAAUUCUCCUGCCUCAGCCUCCUGAAUAGCUGGGAUUACAGGCUUGCACCACCAUGCCCGGCUUGUAUCUGGUGAUGAAUAUUUACCUUAUUUGAAGUCGCUGUUGUCAAAAGUUUUCUGGAACAGGUAAUGUGAGGCCUUCAGAGAUCUCUCUUUGAAAAUGAAAAUAGAAACGACACACACUGGGGCCUAUAGGAGGGAGGAGGGUGGGAGGAGGGAGAAGAUCAGGAAAAAUAACUAAUGGGUACUGGCCUUAAUACCUGGGUGACAAAAUCAUCUGCACAAUGAACCCCCAUGAUACAAAUUUAUUACCUAUGUAACAAACCUGCACAUGAACCCCUGAACUUAAAAUAAAAGUUAGAAAAAUGA